ACAGGCAUACGCCACCGCACCUGGCCCAAAUUAUUAAUUGUACGUAUUCUCAUUGUUCUGCUUCUUCCAAGAAAACUGAAGUCACGGUAUUCUGAAGACUAGAGAUGAUUCAACAGGCUGUGAAUCUAUUCCAUUUGGAAUCCUACUGGGCCUGAUCUGUUUUCCAUUGCCAAGGCACUGCUGUUUAAGCUAUACCAUAUGAAGCACCCUCCCUAAAGGCUCAGGGGCCAUAGUGAAAGAGGACACAUGGGAUUGUAAGAGCCAGAUUAUGGGGGUGGAGGGUAAAGGCUGAAGCAAGUCCAUCUUGGAUGCUAACUCACUAUGUUAGCUUCUGAUUAACCCCAGUUCCAGGAAGGCUGCUGAAAUUUCCAGUUUAUGUGUUGUUCCUUGUGUAAGAGCAUGGACUUACUGCAAAUCCUGCCCUUAGGGCAAAUUCCUACCUAUUCCUGCGGAAGCAUGUGUAUCAUUCCCCUAUGGUUUAUAACCCCUGAGUCUGGGGGUAAUGGCACGGGGACCCACCAGCUUGUCUGCCGCCAUCUGGGGCUGGAGUGCAAUGGCAUGAUCUCAGCUCACUGCAACCUCUGCCUCCCGGGUUCAAGCAAUUCUCCUGUCUCAGCCUCCUGAGUAGCUGGAUUACAGAGAAACACAGAGGAGAGACCCAGAGAGAAGGAGAAGGCCGCAUGAAGAUGGAGCAGAGACUGGAGUUAUUCAGCCAAGUCAAGGAAUGCCUGGAGCACCAGAAGCCGGAAGAGGCAAGGAAGGAUCCUCCCUUAGAGCAUUUGGAAGAGUGUGGCCCUGCCAACACCUUGACUUCAAACUUCUGGCCUCCAUAACUAUGAAAUAAAUUCUUGUUGUUUUAA
This 860-nucleotide long non-coding RNA is filed under the name Homo sapiens (human). Its description in RNAcentral is "HSALNT0292948". Lineage: Eukaryota; Metazoa; Chordata; Mammalia; Primates; Hominidae. The record is from RNAcentral.